RNA transcript from Nylanderia fulva, 4384 nucleotides. It is a transcript of the gene named Golgi apparatus protein 1, with no coding region annotated. Lineage: Eukaryota; Metazoa; Arthropoda; Insecta; Hymenoptera; Formicidae. The record is from RefSeq and is a predicted model, not a curated record.
CGCUAAGAUUUUCUUGUAAUAACCAUAUUUUUUUUAAAACUUAAAUUCCUGCGUUAUCGACAUUUAUUAUACCGACGCAAACGAUCGAUAGUGUACUGUAAACAGUCUGUUAUGUAUUCUAUAAGAUGACGUUGUAAAAGUUACAGAACGCACAGUGUUCUCGUUAUGAUCGUUUUUUGUACCAAUCACUCUUUAUGUGCUUAUAUUGCUGGCAAUUGCUGAUUACAAUAAUGCCUUCGUGUAACGUUUACGUCAUACAGUAGAUGAUUGACAAGAGUAAAAUAAUUAAUAAAAAGCGGCGGUGGUGUAAACGCAUUUGCAAGAACAUUAUUGGAAUGAUAUCGUUAGGAGAUAUAAAGUUUGAGUAACGAGGAUGGAAUAUACAAGACAGAUAUUCUCUACACUGAUUAUUCUAUUAACAUUAUAUUACACAACAUCAACUUAUAUUGGAGACACUCGACAAAUUGAUGAGCCUUCCAAAAUUGGUUGGCUUUUUUCUGAUGCCUCUAUUAAGACAAAGAGGGUUCAAAGAGCAACUAUAAUAAGAGAAUUCGAGGAUGAUGGGAAUUUGCCAAAAAUUAUAAGUGGCAAUUGCCGAGAUAAAUUGAAUCGUCUUUGUGGAAACAUAGAUAAGAAUAAUGAUGAACUUAUGCUGCUUGAGUGCAUUCAAACAUUCAAGCCUACUGAGAUAUCCGGAAUCAAUCAGAAAUGUCAGGAGGCAAUUUGGAUUUAUAUUCAGAAUAUUACAGACAAUCAAAAUAUAAAGAGACUUGCCAGAAAGGCAUGUGGCAGACAAUUGGAUACUCUACAAUGUUCUGAUUCUGAUAAAGCUCAUGGGGCGUAUCUUUCUUGUUUGAUUGAUCAGCGAGAGAGGGUUACAGAUUCUGACUGUAUUACUUACAUUCAGAGAUUAGAAUGGAUUGCAUUUAGUGAUUUCAGAAUUUUAACUCCUUUUAAGACAGAUUGUGCAUAUGACAUUAAAACUUUUAAAUGCGAUAUUCUGCAGCCAUACAGAGAUAUAUCGCAAGGUCAAAUACUAGCUUGUUUGCAGGAACAUGUUGAACAACUGCAACAGGAAUGUAGGAGACAUAUUCUUCAUGUGUCUGAGAUUCAAGCAGAAAAUAUCAAACUAGAUCGUCAACUAUACAUGGCAUGCACUCAUGAUCACAUUAAGUUCUGUCCCAACAUUCGACCAGGCAGUGGUCAAGUCUACAAAUGCUUGAUGCAACAUAAAACUGAUAGAUCGAUGACCGCUCAAUGUCAAGAACAAUUGACGAGGAGAGAGAAGCUUAUUGCUUCAGACUAUAAGAUUAGCAAGGGUCUGGUUAAGGCGUGUAAAGAGGAUAUCAGAAGCAAUCACUGCAGGCGAUCCGUGUCCGACGACAAGGAGAUUAAGUUAGCGCAAAUCUUGCUUUGCUUGGAGUCAGCCGUAAAGAAUGGCAGUAAGAUCGAUGGAAACUGUCAAGCGGAAAUGUUCGAUCACAGAAAGCUCCUUAUGGAAGAUUACAGAUUAUCACCAGAGAUUGUGGACGGAUGUGCCAACGAUAUUACGGCUUUUUGCAAUAGCCUCGAAGUCGGCGGUGCUACCAUACAUUGUCUGAUGGAACAUACGAGAACGAGAAAGAAGAAAUCGAGGGUCACGUCAAAAUGCCAAAGAGCGUUGGAGGAGUUAAUCAUGGAAGCUGAUGCAGGCGAAGAUUGGAGAAUUGACCCGGUUUUAAGAGAACAAUGUCAACCUGUUGUCAACUUAGCUUGUAGAGAUGUACACGGUGGAGAUGCCAGAGUGAUAUCCUGUUUAAUGGAACAGUUAGGAACAGAGAGAAUGACCGAGGCCUGUGAGACAGCUUUAGUACAAAUACAAUACUUUAUUGCUAGAGAUUUCAAAUUGGAUCCACAAUUGUACAAAGCAUGCAAGUUUGAUGCUGUGCGUUUGUGUCAUGCGAGAAAUGCAUGGGCCAAUGAUGGCAAACAGAUGGACCCUGAAACAGGACCUCUCGUACUGCCAUGCCUUUAUCGGCAUGUGUAUCAGAAAAAUAUGACGUUGAAAGCAGAUUGUUUGGAGGAAAUUAGAAGAGUCAUGAGGCAGCGUGCUGUGAAUGUCGAUUUACAGCCAGAAAUAGAAGAAGUGUGCUUUAAUGAAUUGGCGUCACUUUGUUAUGAUAAAACUGCAAAGGGAGAGGAGAUUCUUUGCUUGCAGGAUAAUUUAGACAACUUAAACAAAAAGUGUAAGCUUGCAGUUGGAAAUUUCACAGAAGAACAAGCAGAGCGUGUUGAGCUGAAUCCUAUUAUUUCUUCUGCAUGCCAACAUAUUAUGGAACGUCAUUGCGAGGAAGUUUUAAAAUAUGGAAAGGAUGAGGGAGAUAUGAUGGAAUGCCUUAUUGAGCAUAAAAACGAACUGGAUGCACGCACUGAUUAUAAAUGUAAAGCAGCAGUGGAACAUUUUCAAUUGAUAUCCUUAAAGAAUUAUCAUUUUACAUACAAGUUCAAAGAGGCAUGCAGGCCUUAUGUUAAAAGAUGGUGUCCUAAAUCAAAAACGAAAGCAGAUGUGAUAGAAUGCUUAAGCUCGAUCGUGCAGGAGGACAUAAUAAAAGAAUCUCAGCAUCGUGUGUUGAAGGAUUGCAGACAACAGCUACGGGCACAGCUUUAUCAACAGCGAGAAAAUAUUCAUUUCGAUCCUGUCUUACAAUCGGCCUGUGCAAUAGAUAUCAAACAGUAUUGUUUUAACGUUCAACCAGGCAAUUCACAGGUAUUAGAAUGCUUGGCAUCACAUAAGGCUAAGUUGACAGAUAUAUGUCAUAAGCAACUAUUUAAAGUGAGGAAACAGGAGUUUCAAGAUAGUUCCAGCGAUGUACCAUUAUUGAAUACUUGUCGAGUUAUGAUUAGACAAUACUGCCACGAUGUGAGCAAAUCACAAACUUUGGAUUGCCUUAAAAGAUACAAAGAUGAGCUCACUUUCGAUGAUAAAUGCAAGAAUAUUGUGAUUCGAAGAAUGAUCGAACAGAAUACGGAUUACAGAUUUAACACUGCAUUGCAAAACGCGUGUGGUUACGAUAUCGACAGGCAUUGCAAAGAAGUUUUGGCACAUGAGCGUACUGACAAAGAACUUGAAGGAAAGGUAAUUAGAUGUCUGAAAAUCAAAUUUCGAGAAUCGAAACUGACGACUAAAUGUGAACAUCAAAUGGCUAACAUUCUUAGAGAAGCUGCAUUGAAUUAUCAUUUAAAUCCAUUAUUAGCAACCAUGUGUGCACAUGAGAUUGAAACUAUAUGCCGAUCGGACGAAAAUGAGCCUGGUACUGUCGAGGAGUGUCUUAAAAAAGAAUUCAAUGCUGGAAAUAGAGAUAUGAAGGAAGAAUGUCGUUUGGAAAUCGCUGAUCUGAUAGAACAAACGAGAGCUGAUAUCAAUGUAGAUCCUUUGUUGCAGAAAGCUUGUGCUGUGGAUGUCAGCAAGUAUUGCAGUGCUGUACCUCAAGGUGCAGGAAGACAUAUAAUGUGCUUGCAAAAUGCGUUGCAAGACAGUAAUAAACCCUUGCAACCCGAUUGCUUUAAGAUGUUGACUACGAGGAUGGAAAUGUUUAGAAAUGCUGCCAAGUUGAUUGCGCCAAAUUCGUUUGAGGAGCUAUACUCGACGGUAAAUCGUUCCCCAGCGCGGCGUUACUUCAUGAUCGUUGGUUUUACCAUGGUCGGAACAAUCUUCAUCGUCGGAAUGUUCUGCGGUCGAGUGACCAGACGAACGAUGAUUAUGAAAAACAAGUGACGACGCGGCUGAGGUCCGUCCACUAGUGAAAUGACUCGUGAAAUUAAGUAAUCGAGGGACUAAAAACGUAAAUUGUAACGUGCAUUGAUUCGAUCAGCGAUGAUGAAAUGAAAAAGUUCUACAAUAAUUAUAAAGAGCAAAAACGCAAUUUUAAUAAAAAAAAAUAACUAAAAAUAAUUUGCGCGAAAAUGAGCUGUUCAUCUGUCGGACAUGUAUUUUAUCGGUGCCUGGAUGUUGGCUCUGAUUUAGAAUGCAAAGAGAGAAAGAGAAGGAGAAGAAUAAUACAAGUAUCUACCUAUUCGAAGUACGGCACUCCAUCUCUUUCCCUCGAGGCUCGUUCAACUUGUGCAAUGCAAUUGCACAGUGAAUGAGAACAUGUCUGAGGAUUCUUUUUGAAACACAGUUCUUGAAUAACUGUUGAAGUAACUUUGCAAUGCGCACAAGGGCGAUUAUUCCUCAGGGACAUUCGAGGUCAUCUUGCAAGAAUGAUUCCGCAUACAGGUGUGAGAAUUAAACAUGGGCUGGUGGCACGAGACGCAUUUAUUAUGUAAAGCAUAAUACAAUAUAUCUAAGUUUUCUGUACGUUUGUGAUAUGAAAAAGACGAAUAAAGAUAUUUAAAGUGAUUUAAA